Molecule: ribosomal RNA, 931 nt
Filed under: Proteus mirabilis
Lineage: Bacteria; Pseudomonadati; Pseudomonadota; Gammaproteobacteria; Enterobacterales; Morganellaceae
Description: partial 23S ribosomal RNA
Rfam family: Bacterial large subunit ribosomal RNA
Source: RNAcentral
CCCCAGUAAACGGCGGCCGUAACUAUAACGGUCCUAAGGUAGCGAAAUUCCUUGUCGGGUAAGUUCCGACCUGCACGAAUGGCGUAAUGAUGGCCAGGCUGUCUCCACCCGAGACUCAGUGAAAUUGAACUCGCUGUGAAGAUGCAGUGUACCCGCGGCAAGACGGAAAGACCCCGUGAACCUUUACUAUAGCUUGACACUGAACAUUGAGCCUUGAUGUGUAGGAUAGGUGGGAGGCUUUGAAGUGUGGACGCCAGUCUGCAUGGAGCCAACCUUGAAAUACCACCCUUUAACGUUUGAUGUUCUAACCUAGGCCCAUAAACUGGGUCGGGGACCGUGUCUGGUGGGUAGUUUGACUGGGGCGGUCUCCUCCUAAAGAGUAACGGAGGAGCACGAAGGUUGGCUAAGCAUGGUCGGACAUCAUGCGGUUAGUGCAAAGGCAUAAGCCAGCUUGACUGCGAGAGUGACGGCUCGAGCAGGUACGAAAGUAGGUCUUAGUGAUCCGGUGGUUCUGAAUGGAAGGGCCAUCGCUCAACGGAUAAAAGGUACUCCGGGGAUAACAGGCUGAUACCGCCCAAGAGUUCAUAUCGACGGCGGUGUUUGGCACCUCGAUGUCGGCUCAUCACAUCCUGGGGCUGAAGUAGGUCCCAAGGGUAUGGCUGUUCGCCAUUUAAAGUGGUACGCGAGCUGGGUUUAGAACGUCGUGAGACAGUUCGGUCCCUAUCUGCCGUGGGCGUUGGAAGAUUGAGAGGGGUUGCUCCUAGUACGAGAGGACCGGAGUGAACGCACCACUGGUGUUCGGGUUGUCAUGCCAAUGGCAUUGCCCGGUAGCUAAGUGCGGAAGAGAUAACCGCUGAAAGCAUCUAAGCGGGAAACUUGCCUCGAGAUGAGUCUUCCCUGUCGCUUUAAGCGACCUAAAGGAACGUUUAAG